This 431-nucleotide ribosomal RNA is filed under the name uncultured bacterium. Its description in RNAcentral is "partial 16S ribosomal RNA". It matches the Rfam family "Bacterial small subunit ribosomal RNA", at positions 475 to 902 of the family's 1533-position model. The record is from RNAcentral.
UUACUUGAGGAAUAACCAUCGGCUAACUUCUGUGCCACCACCCGCGGUAAUACAGGGGAUGCAAGUGUUAUCCGGAAUUAUUGGGCGUAAAGCGUCUGCAGGUGGAUUUUUAAUUCUUUUGUUAAAUGUUUGGGCUUAACCCAAAAUCUGCAAAAAAAACUAUUGAUCUUGAGUCUGGUAAAGGUAAAAGGAAUUUCCAGUGGAGCGGUGAAAUGCGUAAAGAUUGAAAAAAACACCAAAAGCGAAGGCUUUCUACUGGGCCAUGACUGACACUCAAAAACAAAAGCUAGGGGAGCAAACAGGAUUAAAUACCCUGGUAGUCCUACCUGUAAACAAUGGACACUAAAUGUUGUUGAUUCACUGAAUCAGCAGUGUCGUACCUAACGCGUUAAGUGUCCCGCCUGGAAAGUAUGCUCGCAAAAGUGAAACUC